RNAcentral lists this ribosomal RNA (252 nucleotides) under uncultured prokaryote. Its description in RNAcentral is "partial 16S rRNA". It matches the Rfam family "Archaeal small subunit ribosomal RNA", at positions 475 to 726 of the family's 1478-position model. The record is from RNAcentral.
ACCGGCGGCUCGAGUGGUGGCCACUAUUACUGGGCUUAAAGCGUUCGUAGCUGGCUUGUUAAGUCUCUGGGGAAAUCUUCCGGCUCAACCGGAAGGCGUCUCAGGGAUACUGGCAGGCUAGGGACCGGAAGAGGUGAGCGGUACUCCAGGUGUAGGGGUGAAAUGCUGUGAUACUACGGGGAACACCGGUUGCGAAGGCGGCUCGCCAGGACAUUACUGACGGUGAUGAACGAAAGCGUGGGGAGCAAACAG